RNAcentral lists this ribosomal RNA (989 nucleotides) under uncultured bacterium. RNAcentral describes it as "bacterial SSU rRNA". It matches the Rfam family "Archaeal small subunit ribosomal RNA", at positions 344 to 1336 of the family's 1478-position model. The record is from RNAcentral.
AAACCUCUGCAAUAGGCGAAAGCUGACAGGGUUAUUCUGAGUGACUUUCGCUAAGGAAGUCUUUUGACACCUCUAAAAAUGGUGUAGAAUAAGGGGUGGGCAAGUCUGGUGUCAGCCGCCGCGGUAAUACCAGCACCCCGAGUGGUCGGGACGAUUAUUGGGCCUAAAGCAUCCGUAGCCGGUUUUACAAGUCCUCCGUUAAAUCCAACUGCUUAACAGAUGGGCCGCGGAGGAUACUAUAAGACUAGGAGGCAGGAGAGGCAAGCGGUACUCAGUGGGUAGGGGUAAAAUCCGUUGAUCCAUUGAAGACCACCAGUGGCGAAGGCGGCUUGCCAGAAUGCGCUCGACGGUGAGGGAUGAAAGCUGGGGGAGCAAACCGGAUUAGAUACCCGGGUAGUCCCAGCUGUAAACGAUGCAGACUCGGUGAUGGACUAGCUUCAUGCUAGUCCAGUGCCGCAGGGAAGCCGUUAAGUCUGCCGCCUGGGUAGUACGGUCGCAAGACUGAAACUUAAAGGAAUUGGCGGGGGAGCACCACAAGGGGUGAAGCUGCGGUUCAAUUGGAGUCAACGCCGGGAAUCUUACCGGGGGCGACAGCAGAAUGAAGGUCAAGCUGAAGACUUUACUAGACAAGCUGAGAGGAGGUGCAUGGCCGUCGCCAGCUCGUGCCGUGAGGUGUCCUGUUAAGUCAGGUAACGAGCGAGACCCCUGCUUCUAGUUGCUACUUUUAUUCUUCGGAGUAGAAGGGCUAAUUAGAAGGACUGCCGCCGCUAAGGCGGAGGAAGGAGGGGGCUACGGCAGGUCAGUAUGCCCCGAAACCCUCGGGCCACACGCGGGCUGCAAUGGUAAGUACAAUAGGUUCCGAUUUCGAAAGGAGGAGGCAAUCCGCAAAACUUACCACAGUUAUGAUUGAGGGCCGAAACUCGUCCUCAUGGAUAUGGAAUCCCUAGUAAUCGCGUGUCAUCAUCGCGCGGUGAAUACGUCCCUGCUCC